AUGUCUGAACAACAGGACCAAGUUAGUAAAAGCUCCUGCUCAAGUAUUAGCACCAGUACUCAGGGGAGUGAGGAUGAUGGGACCGUCGAUGCACUUUUAACGGAAGCAAAGACCAAUGGGCGCAGCCUUGGGAAGCGGCUGUCCCACUUAGAUUCACUCCCGCAUACUCCUCGAGUUAAUGGAAAAAUCCCUGAUUUUAGUAAUGCAACCAUAGACCAUGAAUCAUUAUUGGAAAGAUUGGGCACUUAUGGCUUAGCUGAAUAUCAGAUAGAAGGGGAUGGGAAUUGCCAGUUUCGAGCUCUGGCAGAUCAGAUAUUCCGCAAUCCUGAUUACCACAGACAUGUGAGGAAGGCAGUAGUGAAGCAGCUAAAGGAAUUCAGGAAACACUAUGAAGGCUAUGUACCAUUGGACUACAAGGUUUACUUGAAGAAAAUGAAAAGAUCUGGGGAAUGGGGAGAUCAUGUGACCUUACAAGCGGCUGCAGACCGGUUUGGUGCCAAAAUCUGCCUGCUGACGUCGUUUAGAGACACAUGCCUGAUCGAGAUAGUCCCCAGGGAUGCCGCUCCUACAAGAGAGCUUUGGCUAAGUUUCUGGUGCGAAGUACACUAUAAUUCCUUGUAUGCCAAUGAAGAUCUUCCGACACGCAAGACCAAAAAGAAGCACUGGCUGUUCUAG
This 675-nucleotide ribosomal RNA is filed under the name Triticum aestivum (bread wheat). RNAcentral's name for it is "partial small subunit ribosomal RNA". The record is from RNAcentral. Lineage: Eukaryota; Viridiplantae; Streptophyta; Magnoliopsida; Poales; Poaceae.